This 238-nucleotide ribosomal RNA is filed under the name uncultured bacterium. RNAcentral's name for it is "partial 16S ribosomal RNA". It matches the Rfam family "Bacterial small subunit ribosomal RNA", at positions 1248 to 1500 of the family's 1533-position model. The record is from RNAcentral.
AGCGAGACUGUGAAGUGGAGCAAAUCUCAAAAAAUUGUCUCAGUUCGGAUUGCAGGCUGCAACUCGCCUGCAUGAAGUCGGAAUUGCUAGUAAUCGCGGAUCAGCAUGCCGCGGUGAAUACGUUCUCGGGCCUUGUACACACCGCCCGUCACACCAUGGGAGUCGGUAACACCCGAAGCCCAUGUCAAAGUGGUCGAAGGUAGGCUUGAUGAUUGGGGUGAAGUCGUAACAAGGUAUC